CCUGCUCUGUGCUGCUUCACUGUGCCAGGGAAAACUGCCUUUGGCAUCCUGCUCUGUGCUGUGCUGGUGCUGCUCCUGCUGUGCCAUAGGAAACUGGCUCUGGCAGCCUGCUCUGUGCUGCCAGGGUUUGUGCCAGUUCUCCUCCUGCUGCUCCUACCACGCCAGGGAAAACUGGCUCUGAUAUCCUGCUCUGUGCUGUGCCAGGGAAAACUGGCUCUGAUAUCCUGCUCUGUGCUGUGCUGGUGCUGCUCCUGCUGUGCUGGGGGAAUUCAGCUCUGGCUCUGUGCUGGUGAUCUGCACCACGCCAGUGUUCUGUGCCUGUUCUCUGUGCUGGUGCUGCUCCCGCUGUGCCAGAGGAAUCCGGCUCUGGCUCCUGCCCUGUGCUGUGCCAGUGCUCUGUGCUGUGCUGCUCCUGCUGUGCCAGGGAAAACCCCUCUGGCAUCCUGCUCUGUGCUGGUGCUGCUCCUGCUGCGCUGGUGCUGCUCCUGCUGCUCAGACUCUGCUGGGGGAAUCGGGUUCUGGUGCUGUCCUGGUGAUCUGCACCACGCUGCUGUUCCUUGCCACUGCUCCGUGCCAGUGCUGCUCCUGCUGGGCAGGCAGAUCUGCCUCUGGCAUCCUGCUGGUGUUCUGUGCUGGUGCUGCUCCUGCUGGUGUUCUGUGCUGGUUCUGCUCCUGCUGGGCAGGCACAUCUGUCUCUGGCAUCCUGCUGGUGUUCUGUGCUGCUGCUGCUCCCGCUGUGCCGUGGGAAGCUGCCUCUGGCAUCCUGCUCCGUGCUGCUCAGUGCCGGUGUUCUGUGCCAGUGCUGCUCCUGCUGCUUCUGGUGUGCUGGGGAAAACUGGCUCUGUCAUCCUGCUCUGUGCUGCUGCUGUGCUGUGGGAAUGCAGCUCUGGCAUCCUGCUCUGUGCUGCUGCUGCUGCUGUGCUGUGGGAAUGCAGCUCUGGCAUCCUGCUCUGUGCUGCUGCUGCUGCUGUGCUGUGCUGUGGGAAUGCAGCUCUGGCAUCCUGCUCUGUGCUGCUGCUGCUGCUGCUGUGCUGUGGGAAUGCAGCUCUGGCAUCCUGCUCUGUGCUGCUGCUGCUCAGGCUGCACUGGGGAAAUCCAGCUCUGUGCUGUCCUGGUGAUCUGCACCAGGCUGGUGCUCCAUGCUGCUGCUGCUGCUGCUGCUCCUGCUGUGCUGCUGCUGCUCCUGCUGUGCCGUGGGAAGCUGCCUCUGGCCUCCUGCUUCGUGCUGAUGUUCCAGUCCCUGCUGGAGCUCUGUGUGCUACCACCUGCCCUGCACUGCUCAUGCCUCAUGGCGUCGCUCCAGCUGCUGCAUCCCAGCAGGAUUUUAUCCACACUCAGCCAGCUCGGGCUGCAUUCCUGGCCCAGCUGCUGCAUCCCCAGCUGUGCUGCUGCAUCCCCAGCUGUGCUGCUGCAUCCCCAGUCUGUGCUGCUGCAUCCCCAGCUGUGCCAAUGUUCCAAGCUGACACAUCAAUAAAGCAGCCGGUCCCACUGCAGGGCUCUGCACAAACUGCUCGUGAUUCCUUGCUCCGGUGUAAGGAGGGAUUCAGGGGACACCUCAGAGCUGCAGAUUCCCAAUCCCUCCGGAGCACACCUGCCCCAGACAUCCCAGCACAUCCCAGCCCCUCCCUCAGUGCAGCCCUCCCACAAAUCCAUGGAUUUUACAGGAUCUCACACAGCUGCUCUGACCCUGGAAUUCCCUGCCCUUGGUGA
Cyanistes caeruleus (blue tit) is the source of this 1710-nucleotide long non-coding RNA. Lineage: Eukaryota; Metazoa; Chordata; Aves; Passeriformes; Paridae. The record is from Ensembl.